GGCCCCGGUGAUGUGAUCAAAAUAUUUGCUACUCUUGAUGGGGCGUGCCACGCCCCUUCUGAUGAUCUCAAACCACCAAGAUCUCUGAGGUC
This is a small nucleolar RNA of Phragmites australis (common reed), 92 nucleotides long. RefSeq annotates it as small nucleolar RNA SNORD24. NCBI's taxonomy places the organism in Eukaryota, Viridiplantae, Streptophyta, Magnoliopsida, Poales, Poaceae. The transcript has a single exon. The record is from RefSeq and is a predicted model, not a curated record.